This 459-nucleotide ribosomal RNA is filed under the name uncultured bacterium. Its description in RNAcentral is "partial 16S ribosomal RNA". It matches the Rfam family "Bacterial small subunit ribosomal RNA", at positions 338 to 795 of the family's 1533-position model. The record is from RNAcentral.
CCUACGGGAGGCAGCAGUGAGGAAUAUUGGUCAAUGGCCGGAAGGCUGAACCAGCCAAGUCGCGUGAGGGACGACUGCCCUAUGGGUUGUAAACCUCUUUUAUAAGGGAAGAAUAAAUGCUACGUGUAGCAUGAUGCCUGUACCUUAUGAAUAAGCAUCGGCUAACUCCGUGCCAGCAGCCGCGGUAAUACGGAGGAUGCGAGCGUUAUCCGGAUUUAUUGGGUUUAAAGGGUGCGUAGGCGGUUGUUUAAGUUAGUGGUAAAACGUCGGGGCUUCACCUUGAUUUGCCAUUAAUACUGUAAGACUCGAGUUCAGACGAGGUAGGCGGAAUAAGUUAAGUAGCGGUGAAAUGCUUAGAUAUAACUUAGAACUCCGAUAGCGAAGGCAGCUUACCAGACUGCGACUGACGCUGAAGCACGAGAGCGUGGGUAGCGAACAGGAUUAGAUACCCCUGUAGUC